Molecule: long non-coding RNA, 1755 nt
Organism: Xiphias gladius (swordfish)
Lineage: Eukaryota; Metazoa; Chordata; Actinopteri; Istiophoriformes; Xiphiidae
Exons: 3
Source: RefSeq, a predicted model, not a curated record
CACACCUGUGUGAUUGGCAGCAGGUGAGGAAGAAACCCACAGAGGGCGGGGAGAGAGGCUACGAACAGGGCAGGUCCCCCGGUCUGGAGCUGUCCAAGGAGCCGGCCAAAUGCUGCGGGAGGUGGCGAAACGUCUGCGCACUUUGUCGUCGUAACGGCGGUUAACUGGUCCGGAAGUUAGCGCCUGUGUCCGCGGCGGUGGGGUCGGUUUGUUACGCUUGGUAGCCGCUAAGCUACCGCGAAAAACGGCGAUGCUAAGUGCUUAGCGCGGCUGCUAGCACCGCAGUGUGACUGACGUUAGGAGGCCCGUGAACCAGGGACCGGUGUGAACCCGGACCCGGCGCUGGAUUCAAGAACAGAUAGGCCCGACAGCGACCGGGAAAUGAGGUUGCUGGACUGUGAGAACGCCAGAGACAACGAUGGAAAUGAGUCCAGGAGCCAGCAGCGUGUUGCACCUACUGAUGUGUCUUGAAGUGCUCCGACUCUCCACUCGAGCAGAAGAAGAAGGAGCCACUCAUCCUCCUCAUAAUCUCAUUGCACCAAUGCAGCCGCCACAAAGGAAGUCACAGGAAACGGGGACCGAAAAGCACCUUCACAUGCACAAAUCUGAAGAUCAAUUAAAGCUAAUGCAGCUGGACGAGCCCGGCUCUCCAUACACAAGCAGCGUAUCCGAAACGCCCCCCCCCCCAGUGAGUCGGUGAAAGGGAGUGCGGGAUGAAUGGCCCACUUUAUUACCGCUUGCCAUGUGCAGUCAGAGAGCAGCACCAGGCCCAUUCUACAGCCCUCACAGCCUUUAUUAGCAGGCUUCAGGGGGGCUUGUAAAACUGUUCUGCCCUGCAUAACGGGGGGGGGGCUGCAUAACAAAAAUCAGCCUCGAAUUAAAGCCCAGCAAAGGACUGUGGGUGGGCUGGUCGUCCCCCUCCUCUCCCGCCCACUCCGAUGGGUGAUUCCCACCAUAGUUUUGGGUGUGACCCCGGCCGGGCCGCAGCUCCUCGGCUGACAGCUUCAGGGGCGAUGACGCUAACUCAUCACUUAAAUCCUCCGUCAUAAAAGAAGCCAUAUUUCCCUCAGGCGGCGGCGGUACGUGGCGGUAUUUGUCCAGUAUACUGCGGCGAGCUGCAGUGAACACAACAGGCCGUCAGGCCCCCGCUGAAGGCCGCGGGGCGUCGGAGCACAGGGCUCAACACGGAGGCGAAUGUGGCAUGAAAUCGGCCACAAAGAGGCCGACGGCGGGGAGCAGAUCACACACAGAGACGAGAUGUCUGUCCUGCCUUCUGUGGUGAAGACCUAAUCAGGAGGGUAACCUGAUCAGUCCUCAGACCUGUAGCCAGCAGGGACACGAGGUUUAUCUGCAGAGGCUGUUGCUGACGGAUAAAGCAGAGCCAUCCCAAGAUCCGUCGCGUCGCUUCUGUAACACUGUCAGACUCACGAUGGAGGCUUCUCACCUUUCUUUAUUCCGCCUGUUCUUCUUCACUGUCAAAACCUGGAGCCUACAUUACCCACGGUGCACCUUGACCUUGGGUCUGAGAUUGGGGUGUCUUAUGCUUGUAGCUGCUGAUGGAGGCUAGUGAUGUGCUACGACUAUUGUGGUGAAAACCAUCACAGUAAAGUGUGUUAUCCUGAUAAUCCUAAAACUGUCCUGACACACUACUGUUAAAUCUGAUAAAGUUACAGUGGACUGAACCAACAUCAGAUACACUAAAGUACUUUUUAACCUUGAAGGAGUAAAACUCUUCCCUAUUUCAGAGGGGAAUUU